CUAACACAUGCAGUCGAGCGGAUGAAGGGAGCUUGCUCCUGGAUUCAGCGGCGGACGCGGUGAGUAAUGCCUAGGAAUCUGCCUGGUAGUGGGGGACAACGUUUCGAAAGGAACGCUAAUACCGCAUACGUCCUACGGGAGAAAGCAGGGGACCUUCGGGCCUUGCGCUAUCAGAUGAGCCUAGGUCGGAUUAGCUAGUUGGUGAGGUAAUGGCUCACCAAGGCGACGAUCCGUAACUGGUCUGAGAGGAUGAUCAGUCACACUGGAACUGAGACACGGUCCAGACUCCUACGGGAGGCAGCAGUGGGGAAUAUUGGACAAUGGGCGAAAGCCUGAUCCAGCCAUGCCGCGUGUGUGAAGAAGGUCUUCGGAUUGUAAAGCACUUUAAGUUGGGAGGAAGGGUUGUAGAUUAAUACUCUGCAAUUUUGACGUUACCGACAGAAUAAGCACCGGCUAACUCUGUGCUCACCA
This 471-nucleotide ribosomal RNA is filed under the name Pseudomonas koreensis. RNAcentral describes it as "bacterial SSU rRNA". It matches the Rfam family "Bacterial small subunit ribosomal RNA", at positions 48 to 513 of the family's 1533-position model. The record is from RNAcentral. Lineage: Bacteria; Pseudomonadati; Pseudomonadota; Gammaproteobacteria; Pseudomonadales; Pseudomonadaceae.